Rhinopithecus bieti (black snub-nosed monkey) is the source of this 1871-nucleotide long non-coding RNA. The record is from Ensembl. Lineage: Eukaryota; Metazoa; Chordata; Mammalia; Primates; Cercopithecidae.
GAGCUGUGAGCUUCUAAGUAAAUGUUCCCCUCAAGUUCCUCUGGUCCAUAAUAUUCUUUGCAGAUGUUGAAGGAUGGGCUGGAUUGACUUGGAACCUUUUUCCAGCAGAGCCCAUGUGUUCAUGAAGAAAACGUUUGCUCAGAUCUGAUUUGUACCGCUGCCUCUCUUUCACUGUUUUAAACACCUGUAGCUAUGUGUUCACAAUUGUGUUUAGUUUCAACGUAUUACCAUCAUUUUUCUAGGAAAAUAAUUACAUGUUUAGAUUCUUGCCAUCAGAACUUUAGACAUGGAAAGAGACAUUUCAUUUGCUCAGGUGUGUAACAUGGUCCUGGAAUUUUUUUUCUCCUUUUUUCGAGACAAGAGUGUCACUCUGUCACCCAUGCUUGAGUGCAGUGAUACUAUCUUGCCUCAUUGCAACAUCCACCUCCCAGGUGCAGUGAUCCACCCCACUCAGCCUCCCAAAUAGCUGAGACCACAGAUGCACACCACAAAACACGGCUAAUUUUUUUGUGCUUUUGGUAGAGACAGGGUUUCACCAUGCUUCCCAGGUUGAUUUCAAACUCCUGGCCUCAAGUGAUCUAGCCACUUCAGCCUCUCAAAGUGCUGGGAUUACAGGGGUGAGCCACCAUGCCCAGCCCAUCCUGGAAUUUUCUAGAGAAGGAAGACUAACACAGCCUAUUGGUGCUUCCAGGCCAUCACAUGGGAAUCAGCCGCACCUCUUUCCAACUCAACUCAGAGCUUCUCAGGAUCACUUGAAGUAUUUCCUGCUCGGAACAACAGUGACUCAACCCGUAAUGUUCAGUACGGCAUCCACCCUCAACAAUACCUACAAUGACACAGGUGAUUCUCAUCUGUCUCCAGCAUUGAAUGUCAAGGCAGUUUCCUCCAUGUUGAGAGCUGAGAUCAGCCUGUGAUCCACAGGGAGGAUUGAUUUCCAAAGACUCAUGUGAGGAAGCCACCAAGAAGAGCAAAGAAAAGGAUCCAGGGAUGGCUCUUCCUCAGGUGAGUGAUAUUCCUCGGUGGAUUCCGCUGUCUCUUUCCUUUCUGAAAUGCCAGGUAUUGUAGUAGCCAGUCUUCUCUGAGUCUGAAGCAUCCUGCCUCACACAUUUGCUGGCACUCACCCAAGACUUUUCUCAGUCCUUGUCAUCUUGACUUAAAUUCCCUCUCCUAUAACCUAGUGAAUGAGCUUGGGAAGAGACUCCCCUGGGCAUGGGCCUGGGAAGGGCUCACACCAGACAUGGAUGGAGAUGGGGUGUGGACCCCGUGCUGUCAGUGAUGUUGGGCAGCAGGGAUUGUUUAGAGACCACACCUGGAUGAAUGUUUAGCUCUUUGUAAACCUGAUCAGAAAAUCUAUAUAUGAAAGUCAUUCAUUAAUGUGCACUGGUAUCUGGUAAAUUCUAGAAAAGGAAACAAACUAGGGGAGAUAUUUUGUAUCUGAUUUUGUAAUACGUUUGAAGUUACGCUAGUGAGUCAAUAUGUCUCUGACUCCAAACUGUUUUUUUAAGAGACAGGUGUCAUUCUGGGGCCCAGUCUGGAGUGCAGUGGCACAAUUUUAGUUUACAGCAGCCUCAAAUUUGUGGCCUCAACUGAUCCCCACAUUAGCCUCUCACGUAGUUGCAGGGGCCAUUGAAAAUAAUAUGCUAAGAAUAGGUAAGGCUCAAGGACAGUAUCUCUAGCUAGUUGCACUUUCCAUGAACUCCAGUAGUCAAGGACAGUAUCUCUAGCUAGUUGCACUUUCCAUGAACUCCAGUAGUCAAGGACAGUAUCUCUAGUUGAACUUUUAAUGAACUCUAGUAGGCGCCAAGAAGGCAGACAAAUAAGAAAGAGCUUAGAGACAAGGAACUAAGCAGAAGGUUACAUCUGGGUGCAGA